GACCAAAUCGGCCACGCCCCCCAUGACCUCGAGUAAAGCUACAACCAAUAGAGGGCCUAGGGUUACUAGAGGAAUGGGGGGACUACUGAAUGGUAUUGGUGGUUGGAUUGGUAGACGGGGCUGCAUCAGCAAUGGAUAAUUUUUUGAAUGCUCGCAUACUUUCAUGGCUAAGAGCCCAUAAAGUUUAGUAUAGGUUGGAGGGGUGUAGCGAUUGAGAAUGCCAGGG
This 226-nucleotide long non-coding RNA is filed under the name Elaeis guineensis (African oil palm). Its description in RNAcentral is "long non-coding RNA (EGUI_LNC048379)". Lineage: Eukaryota; Viridiplantae; Streptophyta; Magnoliopsida; Arecales; Arecaceae. The record is from RNAcentral.